UGGACCUGGUCAGCGCAACAGCUAUUAACUGUUACGGGUUCCUGGGUCCUGACAGCGGUUUACAACCCGAAAGCCUUCAUCCCGCACGCGGCGUCGCACCGUCACGCUUUCGCGCAUUGGCGAAUGAUUCAGC
Molecule: ribosomal RNA, 133 nt
Filed under: uncultured bacterium
Lineage: Bacteria
Description: partial 16S ribosomal RNA
Source: RNAcentral